Molecule: non-coding RNA, 247 nt
Organism: Pelobates cultripes (western spadefoot toad)
Lineage: Eukaryota; Metazoa; Chordata; Amphibia; Anura; Pelobatidae
Source: the annotation of a GenBank genome assembly
CAUCAGUAUGAUGUUUUUUGCUCUGUCUGUCUGUUUUGGGGGGCAGAUGUGGGUGAAUUGAUGGUUCCUUUAUGGAACAAAGACUUCUUGAAGAAAAUGAAUCUUAAGCUCAUCUAACUAAAGCUUUUAGUUAUUUCUCAAGUUAAUUUUUUUGGUACACUUGUCCUAUGUGCCAGGUAAUGUCUUCUCUUCUCCAAUCUAUUUUUUGUUUAAAGAACAUAGCAAAGCAGUUAUCCUUACAUGCUCC